UACGGGGGGGGCAGGCGUUGUUCGGAAUUACUGGGCGUAAAGGGCUCGUAGGCGGCCAACUAAGUCAUACGUGAAAUCCCUCGGCUUAACCGGGGAACUGCGUCUGAUACUGGAUGGCUUGAGUUCGGGAGAGGGAUGCGGAAUUCCAGGUGUAGCGGUGAAAUGCGUAGAUAUCUGGAGGAACACCGGUGGCGAAGGCGGCAUCCUGGACCGAUACUGACGCUGAGGAGCGAAAGCGUGGGGAGCAAACAGG
RNAcentral lists this ribosomal RNA (253 nucleotides) under uncultured bacterium. Its description in RNAcentral is "partial 16S ribosomal RNA". It matches the Rfam family "Bacterial small subunit ribosomal RNA", at positions 524 to 776 of the family's 1533-position model. The record is from RNAcentral.